GGACAUGACUGGACACCUAGCUCGAACAAUUGAAUUUCAAUCAAGAACUAAAGAUAAUGCUAAAAGGUAUCAAGUUAAAAUACCUACCACCUUUUGAUUUCACUGCUCACUUUAAUAUUCGGAUUCAAUUCACCAAUAUGAGACCCUUAUCUUCUCUAUUAAAAACUAUAUAUUUCUUCUCUUUAAUAACCAAAAUAUAAAAUAUAAAAAAUUACAAGAAUCUAAUUCAAGCUUGCAAGGAAGCGAACAAGGACAGGUUAUGCACUGACAUCUUAGAGAGGGAAAUGAGAAGGAAUCCAAUGGCCGGGAGUGCGUCCAUCACUUCCCAUACAAUGGAUGAUGAUCUUCACAUGAAGCUGCUAUACCUGGAGAACAGAGAGAGAAAUCCGGCAAUGAUAUUUUCAAAUACUCUGUUGAGAUACCUGCAUACUAACAGUACUGAUCUUCUUGCUGCUUUAAAUUCCUUGGUUUGGGUGCUGGGGGUGUCCUGCUAGCUAUCCUAUUCCUGUCUGCUCUUCUCCAAAUAGGAGCUUUUAUGCUCUUUCUAUUUUAGUCUCCUAAUCUACCAUGCAUGCAAUCUUCAUGAAAAUAGAGAUUUUCUUAAUGGUAUUUGAUGCGCACAAAGGUGAAGGCAUCCCAUUGAUUUAUGGCUUUAGCACCUUUUGUUCAAUUAUGAUCUUGAGAAGUGAAGCAGAUUAAUUGUUUUAAAUAAUUAAGUAAUUUUUUUCUUAUAAAAAAAGUUAUUCUAUUA
Populus nigra (black poplar) is the source of this 751-nucleotide long non-coding RNA. RefSeq lists it as uncharacterized. The transcript is spliced from 2 exons. Lineage: Eukaryota; Viridiplantae; Streptophyta; Magnoliopsida; Malpighiales; Salicaceae. The record is from RefSeq and is a predicted model, not a curated record.